UGGGGAAUAUUGGACAAUGGGCGAAAGCCUGAUCCAGCCAUGCCGCGUGUGUGAAGAAGGUCUUCGGAUUGUAAAGCACUUUAAGUUGGGAGGAAGGGCAUUAACCUAAUACGUUAGUGUUUUGACGUUACCGACAGAAUAAGCACCGGCUAACUCUGUGCCAGCAGCCGCGGUAAUACAGAGGGUGCAAGCGUUAAUCGGAAUUACUGGGCGUAAAGCGCGCGUAGGUGGUUUGUUAAGUGGGAUGUGAAAUCCCCGGGCGCAACCUGGGAACUGCAUUCAAAACUGACUGACUAGAGUAUGGUAGAGGGUGGUGGAAUUUCCUGUGUAGCGGUGAAAUGCGUAGAUAUAGGAAGGAACACCAGUGGCGAAGGCGACCACCUGGACUAAUACUGACACUGAGGUGCGAAAGCGUGGGGAGCAAACA
RNAcentral lists this ribosomal RNA (427 nucleotides) under uncultured bacterium. RNAcentral describes it as "partial 16S ribosomal RNA". It matches the Rfam family "Bacterial small subunit ribosomal RNA", at positions 355 to 774 of the family's 1533-position model. The record is from RNAcentral.